RNAcentral lists this ribosomal RNA (488 nucleotides) under uncultured bacterium. Its description in RNAcentral is "partial 16S ribosomal RNA". It matches the Rfam family "Bacterial small subunit ribosomal RNA", at positions 29 to 506 of the family's 1533-position model. The record is from RNAcentral.
AUGAACGCUAGCUACAGGCUUAACACAUGCAAGUCGCGGGGCAGCAUGGUCUUAGCUUGCUAAGGCCGAUGGCGACCGGCGCACGGGUGAGUAACACGUAUCCAACCUGCCGUCUACUCUUGGACAGCCUUCUGAAAGGAAGAUUAAUACAAGAUGGCAUCAUGAGUCCGCAUGUUCACAUGAUUAAAGGUAUUCCGGUAGACGAUGGGGAUGCGUUCCAUUAGAUAGUAGGCGGGGUAACGGCCCACCUAGUCUUCGAUGGAUAGGGGUUCUGAGAGGAAGGUCCCCCACAUUGGAACUGAGACACGGUCCAAACUCCUACGGGAGGCAGCAGUGAGGAAUAUUGGUCAAUGGGCGCAGGCCUGAACCAGCCAAGUAGCGUGAAGGAUGACUGCCCUAUGGGUUGUAAACUUCUUUUAUAAAGGAAUAAAGUCGGGUAUGUAUACCCGUUUGCAUGUACUUUAUGAAUAAGGAUCGGCUAACUCCGU